CUAGGUAUAGCAAUCUAUACGGUGAACUGCGAAUGGCUCAUUAAAUCAGUUAUCGUUUAUUUGAUAGUACCUUACUACUUGGAUAACCGUGGUAAUUCUAGAGCUAAUACAUGCUAAAAACCCCGACUUACGAAGGGGUGUAUUUAUUAGAUAAAAAACCAAUGCCCUUCGGGGCUCCUUGGUGAUUCAUAAUAACUUAACGAAUCGCAUGGCCUUGUGCCGGCGAUGGUUCAUUCAAAUUUCUGCCCUAUCAACUUUCGAUGGUAGAGUAGUGGUCUACCAUGGUUUCAACGGGUAACGGGGAAUUAGGGUUCUAUUCCGGAGAGGGAGCCUGAGAAACGGCUACCACAUCCAAGGAAGGCAGCAGGCGCGCAAAUUACCCAAUCCCGACACGGGGAGGUAGUGACAAUAAAUACUGAUACAGGGCUCUUUUGGGUCUUGUAAUUGGAAUGAGUACAAUUUAAAUCCCUUAACGAGGAACAAUUGGAGGGCAAGUCUGGUGCCAGCAGCCGCGGUAAUUCCAGCUCCAAUAGCGUAUAUUAAAGUUGUUGCAGUUAAAAAGCUCGUAGUUGAACCUUGGGCCUGGCUGGCCGGUCCGCCUCACCGCGUGCACUGGUCCGGCCGGGUCUUUCCUCCUGGGGAGCUGCAUGCCCUUCACUGGGUGUGUCAGGGAACCAGGACUUUUACUUUGAAAAAAUUAGAGUGUUCAAAGCAGGCCUAUGCUCGAAUACAUUAGCAUGGAAUAAUAGAAUAGGACGUGUGGUUCUAUUUUGUUGGUUUCUAGGACCGCCGUAAUGAUUAAUAGGGAUAGUCGGGGGCAUCAGUAUUCAAUUGUCAGAGGUGAAAUUCUUGGAUUUAUUGAAGACUAACUACUG
RNAcentral lists this ribosomal RNA (875 nucleotides) under Leotiomycetes sp. Its description in RNAcentral is "SSU rRNA". It matches the Rfam family "Eukaryotic small subunit ribosomal RNA", at positions 59 to 945 of the family's 1831-position model. The record is from RNAcentral. Lineage: Eukaryota; Fungi; Ascomycota; Leotiomycetes.